This 464-nucleotide ribosomal RNA is filed under the name uncultured bacterium. Its description in RNAcentral is "bacterial SSU rRNA". It matches the Rfam family "Bacterial small subunit ribosomal RNA", at positions 338 to 795 of the family's 1533-position model. The record is from RNAcentral.
CCUACGGGAGGCAGCAGUAGGGAAUCUUCCGCAAUGGACGAAAGUCUGACGGAGCAACGCCGCGUGAGCGAAGAAGGUCUUCGGAUUGUAAAGCUCUGUUGUUAGGGAAGAACAAGUGCGGGAGGAAAUGACCGUACCUUGACGGUACCUAACGAGGAAGCCACGGCUAACUACGUGCCAGCAGCCGCGGUAAUACGUAGGUGGCAAGCGUUGUCCGGAAUUAUUGGGCGUAAAGCGCGCGCAGGCGGUCUUUUAAGUCUGAUGUGAAAACUUGCGGCUCAACCGCAAGCGGUCAUUGGAAACGGGGAGACUGUGGUGCAGAAGAGGAAAGCGGAAUUCCACGUGUAGCGGUGAAAUGCGUAGGGUGGUGGAGGAACACCAGUGGGGAAGGCGGCUUUCUGUCUGUAACUGACGCUGAGGCGCGAAAGCGUGGGGAGCAAACAGGAUUAGAUACCCGUGUAGUC